RNAcentral lists this ribosomal RNA (1475 nucleotides) under Candidatus Pelagibacter sp. RNAcentral describes it as "bacterial SSU rRNA". It matches the Rfam family "Bacterial small subunit ribosomal RNA". The record is from RNAcentral. Lineage: Bacteria; Pseudomonadati; Pseudomonadota; Alphaproteobacteria; Candidatus Pelagibacterales; Candidatus Pelagibacteraceae.
AAACUUGAGAGUUUGAUCAUGGCUCAGAACGUACGCUGGCGGCACGCCUAACACAUGCAAGUCGAACGAAGUAGCAAUACUUAGUGGCAGACGGGUGAGUAACAUGUGGGUAUCUGCCCUUUGGCCUGGAAUAACACGAGGAAACUUGUGCUAAUACCGGAUAAGUCUUUACGGAGAAAGCUUUAUGCACCAUUGGAUGAGCCCGCACUUGAUUAGUUUGUUGGUGGGGUAAUGGCCUACCAAGACUGUGAUCAAUAGCUGAUUUGAGAGGAUGAUCAGCCACAUUGGGACUGAGACACGGCCCAAACUCCUACGGGAGGCAGCAGUGGGGAAUCUUGCACAAUGGAGGAAACUCUGAUGCAGCGAUGCCGCGUGAGUGAAGAAGGCCCUUGGGUUGUAAAGCUCUUUCGUCGGGGAAGAAAAUGACUGUACCCGAAUAAGAAGGUCCGGCUAACUUCGUGCCAGCAGCCGCGGUAAUACGAAGGGACCUAGCGUAGUUCGGAAUUACUGGGCUUAAAGAGUUCGUAGGUGGUUGAAAUAGUUAGUGGUGAAAUCCCAGAGCUUAACUCUGGAACUGCCAUUAAAACUUUUCAGCUAGAGUAUGAUAGAGGAAAGCAGAAUUUCUAGUGUAGAGGUGAAAUUCGUAGAUAUUAGAAAGAAUACCAAUUGCGAAGGCAGCUUUCUGGAUCAUUACUGACACUGAGGAACGAAAGCAUGGGUAGCGAAGAGGAUUAGAUACCCUCGUAGUCCAUGCCGUAAACGAUGUGUGUUAGACGUUGGAAAUUUAUUUUCAGUGUCGCAGCGAAAGCGAUAAACACACCGCCUGGGGAGUACGACCGCAAGGUUAAAACUCAAAUGAAUUGACGGGGACCCGCACAAGUAGUGGAGCAUGUGGUUUAAUUCGAAGAUACGCGCAGAACCUUACCAACACUUGACAUGUUCGUCGCGACUCUAAGAGAUUAGAGUUUUCGGUUCGGCCGGACGAAACACAGGUGCUGCAUGGCUGUCGUCAGCUCGUGUCGUGAGAUGUUGGGUUAAGUCCCGCAACGAGCGCAACCCUCACUUUUAGUUGCCAUCAUUAAGUUGGGCACUCUGAAAGAACUGCCAGUGAUAAGCUGGAGGAAGGUGGGGAUGACGUCAAGUCCUCAUGGCCCUUACGUGUUGGGCUACACACGUGCUACAAUGGUAUCUACAACAGGAAGCAAGACUGCGAGGUCAAGCAAAUCCUUAAAAGAUACCUCAGUUCGGAUUGCACUCUGCAACUCGAGUGCAUGAAGCUGGAAUUACUAGUAAUCGUGGAUCAGCGUGCCACGGUGAAUGCGUUCCCGGGUCUUGUACACACCGCCCGUCACACCAUGGGAGUUGGUUCUACCUUAAGGCAAGGUUUCAAACCCUUGACCACGGUAUAGUCAGCGACUGGGGUGAAGUCGUAACAAGGUAGCCGUAGGGGAACCUGCGGCUGGAUUACCUCCUUU